RNAcentral lists this ribosomal RNA (549 nucleotides) under uncultured bacterium. RNAcentral's name for it is "bacterial SSU rRNA". It matches the Rfam family "Bacterial small subunit ribosomal RNA", at positions 356 to 896 of the family's 1533-position model. The record is from RNAcentral.
GGGGAAUAUUGCACAAUGGGCGCAAGCCUGAUGCAGCGACGCCGCGUGAGGGAUGGAGGCCUUCGGGUUGUGAACCUCUUUCGCCAGUGAAGCAGGCCUGUCCCUUUUGUGGGUGGGUUGACGGUAGCUGGAUAAGAAGCGCCGGCUAACUACGUGCCAGCAGCCGCGGUAAUACGUAGGGCGCGAGCGUUGUCCGGAAUUAUUGGGCGUAAAGAGCUCGUAGGCGGCUGGUCGCGUCUGUCGUGAAAUCCUCUGGCUUAACUGGGGGCUUGCGGUGGGUACGGGCCGGCUUGAGUGCGGUAGGGGAGACUGGAACUCCUGGUGUAGCGGUGGAAUGCGCAGAUAUCAGGAAGAACACCGGUGGCGAAGGCGGGUCUCUGGGCCGUUACUGACGCUGAGGAGCGAAAGCGUGGGGAGCGAACAGGAUUAGAUACCCUGGUAGUCCACGCCGUAAACGUUGGGCACUAGGUGUGGGGGGCCUUUUCCGGGUCUUCCGCGCCGUAGCUAACGCAUUAAGUGCCCCGCCUGGGGAGUACGGCCGCAAGGCUA